GGAGCCCUGCGGUGGCCGAAGCCUUUAGUUCCACUAAAGGUCCGUAUGUAGGCCACUGCGGGGCUUA
Molecule: non-coding RNA, 67 nt
Filed under: unclassified sequences
Description: DUF3800-VIII RNA
Rfam family: DUF3800-VIII RNA
About the family: Bacteroidetes, Cyanobacteria, Firmicutes, Planctomycetes (1 example), Proteobacteria, Tenericutes (1 example). Nearby to DUF3800
Source: Rfam by way of RNAcentral